UGACUUAAUUCGACCUUCGAACCCAUUGCGGGUUCUGUAAAAGGAUUGUUACUCAAGGACAUAAGUGAUUUAAUUCAAGAAAUCACUUAAGUUACAGAAAAAGUUUUUGAAAAUUUUUUUGCAGAUAAUUGACAAGUAAGUUGACCCGAGAACAAGCAGACAAUAAUCCAAUAUAUACUGAUCAAAAAACACAGUAACUAAAAAAUUUCAGAUUUCCAAAAAAUUUGGUACCAAUCAAUAAGAUUCCAGAAAAAUGAAAUUUCCUAAAAACGUUUUCCUAUCACAAUCAAACACAAUAUUCAGUUUCUUUGAAUGAUACAAUCACAGUAACAUGCUUGAAAUCAGAUUCAACAUUUAUAUCAAGCAAAGGACGACAGUGUUUAAUUUUUAAAGAUCUCACCAAAAAUACUGUGUAAUACAGUAUCUAAAAAUGCAGUUUCGGUUUCUGCAGAUAGGGGUCCGAAACCCUAGCUUCCAAGAAUCACUAUAUUUCACUUUUUAAAAACUGCACAAGUGAAGUAAAUGUGUUAAUACGAUAAGAGAUUAAACUGUAUCCAAAUAUACCUUACCUCACGGCCUUAUAGGCUCUGAUACCAGAUUUGUUAGGCAAUUCGUACCCCAACACCGAAAAACACAUUAAGCACAACACAAAUAUAAAGUGCAAGAAAAUAAGAACACAAGAAUGGUCACCCAGUUCGGCCUUGAAGGCUUAAUCUGGGGGGCUCAGGUCAGCCCAAUCCACUAGUGCAAUUCUGCCUCACAGAGAGAGUGUACAGUACAUAGAACCAAGAUAGAAAACCAGAUCAAUCAUCGACCCUAAAAUCGGAUCUCAAAUCUGGACAUAAACUCACAGCUUCCUCCCUAACCGACUACAACUACAAAAACAAGACAGAUCACACAUACAAGACCGUCCUCUAUUUACUAUAGUAUUUACAUUUUAACCAGAGUCUUCCAAAUGGAGAAACAAUCUCCAGAUUCAAAGAGCCAAGAAAGGAAGAAGAAGAGUCGACCAACAGAGAGAGAAAAAGAGGUAUUAUCAAAACCGUAUGGGAAAAUAAUACCACCCUUCCAGCUGGUUAUCAAAACUAAGGGCCAUCUCUAGUUUAAUCUCCACCAUUCAUUUAAUCCAAUGGUCCACAUCCAACCGGAAGAAACACAGAUCCGGGUCAUAUCAAAUACACGAAUCAGGAGCUGCCACGUGAUAUCUACCAACUUAAAAUACAGCAAAUGUCCAGAUUGCCCUCUCAUUAGUUGCUAAUUUGGAGAACCACGUUUUUUUUCUCCUUCA
This 1288-nucleotide long non-coding RNA is filed under the name Olea europaea (common olive). RNAcentral's name for it is "long non-coding RNA (OEUR_LNC007267)". The record is from RNAcentral. Lineage: Eukaryota; Viridiplantae; Streptophyta; Magnoliopsida; Lamiales; Oleaceae.